Molecule: ribosomal RNA, 253 nt
Filed under: uncultured bacterium
Lineage: Bacteria
Description: partial 16S ribosomal RNA
Rfam family: Bacterial small subunit ribosomal RNA
Source: RNAcentral
UACGUAGGGUGCGAGCGUUGUCCGGAAUUACUGGGCGUAAAGAGCUCGUAGGUGGUUUGUCGCGUUGUUCGUGAAAACUCACAGCUCAACUGUGGGCGUGCGGGCGAUACGGGCAGACUGGAGUACUGCAGGGGAGACUGGAAUUCCUGGUGUAGCGGUGGAAUGCGCAGAUAUCAGGAGGAACACCGGUGGCGAAGGCGGGUCCCUGGGCAGUAACUGACGCUGAGGAGCGAAAGCGUGGGGAGCGAACAGG